UGAAGGAGCAAAUCUUCAGUGACAGGAUUCGGAAGGCAGUACGGAAAAUUCCAAACGCGAGGUGAGCCCCGGCAUGGUGGCUCCUGGUAGUUCUACUUCUCAAUGUUCGUGGGCAACUACGCUCUCGAACCAGCCAACAAGUCCAAGCUGCAGAAUCCUUUCUUCUCAGUAGUCAAUCGGUCACAUAAUCUAUUGAAGCAAAAUGUGAAUGUCCGAGGUGGUUUUUUUAAGGGAUGCAUCAAUGGAAGCAUGCAAACCGCAACUCUUAAGCAUUUGGACGGAUCAUGGCCAGUGAAGCUCCUGUACUACCCACAACAUGGCUCGGGAAAGCUCUCUACCGGUUGGGGCGCGUUUCAGAAAGGAACUUCUCCAAAAGGAAGGAGAU
This is a long non-coding RNA of Rhodamnia argentea, 385 nucleotides long. RefSeq lists it as uncharacterized. Lineage: Eukaryota; Viridiplantae; Streptophyta; Magnoliopsida; Myrtales; Myrtaceae. The transcript has 3 exons. The record is from RefSeq and is a predicted model, not a curated record.